Molecule: small RNA, 122 nt
Filed under: Klebsiella pneumoniae
Lineage: Bacteria; Pseudomonadati; Pseudomonadota; Gammaproteobacteria; Enterobacterales; Enterobacteriaceae
Description: partial RtT sRNA
Rfam family: RtT RNA
About the family: This family represents a bacterial cis-regulatory element known as RtT RNA. The exact function of RtT is unknown although it is thought that it may be involved in changing the cellular response in relation to amino acid starvation.
Source: RNAcentral
UACAGGGAAGGAUGAGAAGCUUCGACUAAGGUUCGACUCGAGCGAAGCGAGAGAACGUUGCCGCAGGCAACGGCCCGAAGGGCGAAGCGCUUUAGCGCCGAGUAAUCCUUCCCCCACCACUG